Molecule: ribosomal RNA, 274 nt
Filed under: uncultured bacterium
Lineage: Bacteria
Description: partial 16S ribosomal RNA
Rfam family: Bacterial small subunit ribosomal RNA
Source: RNAcentral
AUACGGAGGAUCCGAGCGUUAUCCGGAUUUAUUAGGUUUAAAGGGUGCGCAGGCGGAACUGUAAGUCACCGGUGAAAUCCUACAGCUUAGCUGUAGAACUGCCGGUGAUACUGCGAUUCUUGAGUAUAGUUGAGGUAGGCGGAAUGUGUAGUGUAGCGGUGAAAUGCAUAGAUAUUACACAGAACACCGAUUGCGAAGGCAGCUUACUAAACUAUUACUGACGCUCAUGCACGAAAGCGUGGGGAGCGAACAGGAUUAGAAACCCCAGUAGUCC